This 72-nucleotide transfer RNA is filed under the name Ictidomys tridecemlineatus (thirteen-lined ground squirrel). RNAcentral describes it as "Spermophilus tridecemlineatus (thirteen-lined ground squirrel) tRNA". It matches the Rfam family "tRNA". Rfam says of the family: Transfer RNA (tRNA) molecules are approximately 80 nucleotides in length. Their secondary structure includes four short double-helical elements and three loops (D, anti-codon, and T loops). Lineage: Eukaryota; Metazoa; Chordata; Mammalia; Rodentia; Sciuridae. The record is from Rfam by way of RNAcentral.
AGGUAUGUAGCUCAGUGGUAGAGUGCUUGUCUCACAUCCAUGAGGGCUUGGGUUUAAUCCUCAAUAUAGCCA